RNAcentral lists this long non-coding RNA (2737 nucleotides) under Helianthus annuus (common sunflower). RNAcentral's name for it is "hypothetical non coding rna". Lineage: Eukaryota; Viridiplantae; Streptophyta; Magnoliopsida; Asterales; Asteraceae. The record is from RNAcentral.
ACCUCAUGAAAUACAGACCGAUUAUUCUUCCAAAGCUCAUGAAACAUAUUCUCUCUCUUUCUCUUCCAAAUCUCCGGCUCCCAUAGUGUAUCGCCUGAAUCAGUGGGUUCAACAUUUCCGGUAAGGCUAGGGUAGCAUAAAUCCAGGAGAUGAAGAAAACCCUAGACAACGAAUCUUUCAACACCACGAAAGCUUAACGACAUUCAUCCUCACUAUUAACGUGGUUCUUCAAAUGCAUUGUUCUAAUUCCUUCCCAUCCGAAAAUCACCUUCAGACACCACAAUCAACCAUCACUGAUUGUAACACUUCACCCAUGGGUUGUUGCUCCUUUCUUAGUUGUGGCUGAUUACUAUGUUGAUAAAUUCCGAUAGCAGCAAUGGUUUCUGGGUGAAUGUUUCGAUUGUGCUAUCAAGUACGCCAUUACCAGCCUGUGCCACAUUAUUAAUCUUAGAUUUGCGAUUGGAAGUAUAAGGACUGUAGCAUCUUUUUGCGCUGAAGAGAAAGUGAUGCGGGUUUAUAGAGAUAAAUGUGCAGCUAGCUUUUACGCCGGAGCUUGGCUUGUUGAGGCGGGAACAACUACAUUCCCUAAAGUUUUCCGGUCUCAACAACAGCUUUAGUGAACACCAACCCCAACAACAUCGACCAUCUCUCCGAGCACAUCGGCAAUAACAUCCGCUGCCAAAAGACAGCUCCAGUUCCCAGGUAAGAGAUUCAACUGAAAUCCAAAAAUUCAACUUGCUGGCCUUUUUUCACUGAAAUCCAAAAAUUCAACUUCCUGGCCUUUUUCACUGAUGUAGAUAUACCUUUUGGGCAAUGAAGCACCUCUGAAGUCCAACUCGAACACCUUCUUUACUGAUGUACAUAUACCUUUUGGGCAGUGAAGCAUUUCUGAAGUCCAACUUGAAGGCCUUCAAAGGCUUUUUUGUUGGUUCAGGCCCCUUUGAUCACUACACUCACACUACACAAACUCACGUAAAUAUGUUUAUGAAACUCUCUUUAUAUUCAAUAAACAAAGGAUACAAAUAAAAACCUAAUGCUACUCCCUAUUUAUAAUAAAAAUACAAAUAAAGUCACAUGCAUAAAACCCACGAACUCCUCUUUUGUAGCAACAACUCCCAACGUACACUUCUCCAUGACAUCUAUCUCCAACAAACUUGGUCAACACAAGACUAAUUCUAAACCUGUGAUCUGUUUGCUGCUAGAAUGCCCAUUUUCUGACCAGUUCUCGACCCGUAACCCAACUUGACCCGUUUUACGACCCGUAACAUCAAGAUUAAUUCCAACAUUUUUUACUGAUGUAAAUAAUAAAAGAUAUUGUUGGGCUAUGGACUGGGGAUAUUAUUUUGAAUUAAGUAUGGGCCUACCAUGUUUAGUAUAGUGUAAUACAAAACUUAGUGGUACUUAUUAUAUUUUGGCUACAGAGAUUAAGUGGCUGAAUUCUAUCAAGGAAACUUAGUGGUACUUAUUAGUAUGUCAAAAGUUUGUUUCCAUCUUAACUCAAGUUUUUAAGUUGUUGAUGGAUUAUCUGUUCACAAUUUCAUUUCAUUUGUUUAAGAACCAUACAAGAGUCAUAUUUAAAAAGUGACAUCAGUCGGGAUACCCGCCGCAACGCGCGGGCAAUUCCCACUAGUUAAUAUAUGAUGCACUAAACCAUGACCCGUGUUAGUAACUAACUUUAAUAAUCGUGUUCGGGUGUAUAAAACUAUGACUCGUUGUUACCCGAGAACCAACACAAAUAGUUUUCCAAAUAAAUGUAAUAAAUAUAUAUUUUUAAGAAAUAAUUAAUCUGAUAUAAACGACCGUGUUUUUAUUACUUGAAAACGCAAUAUGGUUUAACACUAAAAAAAAAAAACCAUGUACAAAUCUGCUUGAGAUAUAAUUAUAUGCUUUUGUGGGGUUUUCGAUUACUUAGAAUUACAUAAAAAAAACAUAUAUCUAUUCAUGCUCUUUUUUUUAAUCCAAAAUUCGAUGAACUACGUAUUUGAAAAUAUAUGCAUAUUCUUGGAGUUCAAAUCUUAUAAUAUUUAACAAGGUUUCCUAGCAAAACAUAUAAUAAAACUCAUUAUAAAAUCUUGAAGUUGAUUAUCAUAUGUUUGGGUCUACUAAAAUAUAUAUAAUUUUAGAGCUACAAAAGAAUAUAUAUCUAUAUAUAUAGUUCAUAUUUUUAGCGUUUCCAAAUUCCCUUUACAUGUCCAAGAUUCUUCUUCAUUAAGCAUUUACCAAAUCCAUGAACAUAUUAGUUGGUACAUUAAGUUUUUCUCCCCAAUUAAUAAACAAAUCACUAACAUACAUACGUUUGAUAAGCCUCAUGACUGAUAAAAAUAUGCCAUCUAGUGUUUUAGUAAAAUAUAGCCAAGUUAGCAAAGGUUUUUAGUUCGUAUUUUUAACAACUCUAUACAACUACAACCGUUGGGUGAAUCCACACAACAUAGCACUAGAUUAUAAAAGAUCUAAAGUUAAGGUAGUGAUUCUUACUAAAAGCGAAUAACGAUGAAGCAUGAAAGCUUGCAAAAACACUUGAUCUUUCUUGAAGACACCCUAAAAUAUCCUUGGAAACCUUGAUCUUUUUCUUAGAUUAUGAAGGAGCACUUGACAAAUUUAAUUGUAUAUGUAUGUGUGUUGGUCGAGAGAUAAGAGGAAAAAGAGAGUCUGAUGUAAUGUUGUUGUAGGUGACAAAAAUUAAGGAUAUAUGGUUUUGCAAAUGGGAUCUAAAAUAUCUAAGCCUUACAACACAAUU